Manacus vitellinus (golden-collared manakin) is the source of this 981-nucleotide long non-coding RNA. RefSeq lists it as uncharacterized. The record is from RefSeq and is a predicted model, not a curated record. The transcript has 5 exons. Lineage: Eukaryota; Metazoa; Chordata; Aves; Passeriformes; Pipridae.
GCAGGUAGGGUGGCUGGAGGUGGAGCAGUGUUGUCGGGAUUGCAGGCUGUGUUUCCAGCAGCGGUGUUGGCAGAGCAGCAAAUGCAAUAGCCUGUAAAGAAAGAAGAGGGAAGCAGAGGGCAGCUGAGAGCUUUGCCCAAGGAGGACAGAGUGAAUUUACUGCCCCUGUGCCCCCAUCCAGCACCACUGGGAAUUCAGUUUGAAACAGGAAAAGAAAAAGGAACAAGGACCUUCACAGGGCCUUUGAGCAGAGGAAAAUAGAGCCUCUCUUCCCAGAGAUUGAUGUUCGUAGCAGUGCCAAACAGGUGUUCCUUCCCUCCACCUCUGGCUACCACAUCACUCUCAGAAGAGCGUGCAUGGAAAGAAGCCAUUCCUGAAGCAGGAUUGCCUUUGAGCUGGCAGCAGAUGAGUGACUGGCAUUGGGCAGCACUGCUGAGGCUCUGGCAGGCCGUUUAGCAGAGAACCUUGGCUAAUGAAUGUCAUCCACACCUAACAGAUGUGCCACUGCCUGCCAUGCCAGAUUUUUGACAUAAUACAGGGCUGCUGGACAUGAUGGUGCUUGGGAAAAGCCACGAAGUGACUUGUGCCUACAACGCAGUGUUCAGUCCCACCCGUGCUCUGCGAGAGAAACCAAACCUGCGGGAGGGAGGGAAGCACAUCCAUGUCUCUCACUCCUCACCCCUGGUUUUAUCGAUACAGAUAUACAAGGCAAACCAAAGGUUUCGGCUGCUAUUCAGUGCCUCCUCAUUUGUCCUGGAGCCGUAACAGUGGUGCCCUUUCUCUUCUGGCUGCUUUUCCCUGCUUCUGGAGCAGCAGUUAUGGGAGAAGCAGAUGGCUACUGAUUGGGUGAGCUUUGUGGCUUUAAUACUGAAUACUUUAUGGAAAAGGACUUUAUCAUGCUUGGUUGGUCAGAGGAACAACGGGAUGAGAUUUAUGACUACAGAAAAUAAAUCUUUUUAAGUUUCAGGCUCCUUCACACAC